AUCUUUUUCUUUCCAAAAACAGAUCUUUUACAAGAUUAACUGUAAUAUGAAGAACUCCAAGAUAAUAAGGAUGGAAGAUUUAGAAAGACGAUGCUGGGUGGGCGUCAGCCCUUUUUUAACUUGGUGCUAAAAGUGAUGACGAGGUUUUUGGGGGCAUAGAUGGACUUGAACCCUCAAGAUAAAACUAAUUUUAGUUUUCAUUUUCCUUGUGAUGGACUUUGGCUAUCAAAGGAGGAUUUUGAAAAAUUCAUAUUUAACUUUGUAAAGAACCUCAUUACUUGGGUCUUAAAUUCUUGAGCCAAGGUUUUAAUAAGAAGAGAUGUUGGGAAGUAAUUGGCCAUCUCAAUAACUUGUGAGCUUGUAAAAGAGACGAGAAGUUCAUAUGAAGACUGAAGGUAUGUAGUGGACAGGAAGAUAUUUAGAGAAAAGGAGAAAAUUGUUCUCUAUAACUUUAUUUCUAACAUAAGUAAUCCUUGACGGGAAAAUGAAUUUGGAAAUAACAUGGGAGCAAUGUUCUUGGUUGGAAAGGUUCGGAGGAGCAAAUAUGAUAUGGACCUAAAUGAAUGGAAUUGCUAGAGAACCUAAGAGGCUUAUUCACAAAAUGGGACUCUAGAAAGCAAUGGCAUGGCUUGGGUGCUUGCGUAUUGGUGUCUGACACAUGUACGGAUGUGCAGGUUGACCCCCUUUUCUGGUUCUUUAUAGUUGGACAUGUCUUUGAUGCACACUGAUUUUUAGAAAAAAAUGAGAAGGAGAAACUAAUUGUUUCUCGUCUUUAUCAAUCUAUGAUAGAAGGGUCGUGCAAUGGUGGGUAGAUAAGAUGGCAAAGGGUUGAAGAUGAAGGCGUCGUUGUAGGUGGGUCACUAGUAAUAUCGAACGGUGGAUGUCUGAGUUUGACGAUGCAGUGAAAAGAAUGAAUGCGGAAAAAAAAAAAAAAAACCAUCUUUGUUCAGCAAUUAAAAUGCAUUGCUUUAUUAACUGGGCAAACACCUAUUUUAUUUAAAGAGCACUCACUCUUUCGAUUAAAUAGGCCAAAAUUGAGUCAUAACUUAUAAGCUUUUAAAAUUAACGAAAUUAGGAGUCUAUUUUUUUUUAGAUUCAAGAGCAGAUGCACUUAACAAUCAAAAUUUGGGAUAUUAACGUCUACUAAAACAAUUACAAAAUUGAACAAACAUAAGCAUAUCUGAUGGCAAACACCUAUUUUAUUUAAAGAGCACUCACUCUUUUGAUUAGAUAGGCCAAAAUUGAGUCAUAACUUAUAAGCUUUUAAAAUUAACGAAAUUAGGAGUCUAUUUUUUUUUAGAUUCAAAAGCAGAUGCACUUAACAAUCAAAAUUUGGGAUAUUAACGUCUACUAAAACAAUUACAAAAUUGAACAAACAUAAGCAUAUCUGACAUAAAACCCUCCUUUACUUCAACAUGUACG
Molecule: long non-coding RNA, 1422 nt
Filed under: Olea europaea (common olive)
Lineage: Eukaryota; Viridiplantae; Streptophyta; Magnoliopsida; Lamiales; Oleaceae
Description: long non-coding RNA (OEUR_LNC001935)
Source: RNAcentral